This 2841-nucleotide ribosomal RNA is filed under the name uncultured verrucomicrobium HF0070_15G23. RNAcentral describes it as "bacterial LSU rRNA". It matches the Rfam family "Bacterial large subunit ribosomal RNA". Lineage: Bacteria; Pseudomonadati; Verrucomicrobiota. The record is from RNAcentral.
AUAAGCUACUAAGGGCACGAGGUGAAUGCCUUGGUGCUAGGAGGCGAUGAAGGACGCGGUUACCUGCGAUAAGCCCCGGGGAGACGGAAGCAGUCUUUACUACCCGAGGAUUUCCGAAUGGGGAAACCCAGCUGGGCCUUAAACCCAGUUACUGCCGGUUGAAUGCAUAGGCCGGUUAGAGCAAUACCCGCUGAAGUGAAACAUCUCAGUAAGCGGAGGAAAAGAAAGCGAAUGCGAUUCCGUAAGUAGUGGCGAGCGAAAGCGGAACAGCCCAAAAUCGAGAGGCUUGCCUCUCGGUGGUGUGGGCCUUAUAUGGCAAGAGGAAUGGUAGAUGAAUCAGCUGGAAAGCUGAGCCAAAGAGGGUGAUAGCCCCGUAGACGAAACCUGACCAAAGCCUGAGGAUCCCCCGAGUAACACGGGAUAAGUGGAACCCUGUGUGAAUUGAUGCGCAAACCAUUGCGUAAGGCUAAAUACUACCUAGCAACCGAUAGUGAACAAGUACCGUGAGGGAAAGGUGAAAAGGACCCCGGGAGGGGACGUGAAAAGUACCUGAAACCACGUGCCUACAAGGUGUCGGAGCAAUCUUCGGAUUGUGACGGCGUGCCUUUUGCAUAAUGAGUCUGCGAGUUAUUGUCUGUGGCAAGCCUAAGAGCCUUUGGUUCGAAGGCGAAGCGAAAGCGAGUGUGACAAGCGCGAAUUAGUCGCGGGCGAUAGACCCGAAGCGGAGGUGAUCUAGCCAUGGCCAGGUUGAAGCUGCAGUAACAUGCAGUGGAGGACCGAACCAGUGUACGUUGAAAAGUGCUUGGAUGAGCUGUGGCUGGGAGUGAAAGGCUAAUCAAACCCCGUAAUAGCUGGUUCUCUCCGAAAUAGCUUUAGGGCUAGCGUCAGAUAAAGGAUUCGAGGGGUAGAGCACUGAAUGGCUUAGGGCCCAUACCAGGGUACCAAAACCAAUUAAACUCCGAAUACUCGAACUCCAUGCUGGCAGUCAGUCCGUGGGUGAUAACAUUCACGGGCGAAAGGGAAACAACCCAGAUCGCCGGCUAAGGUGCCUAAACUGGAUUAAGUGGAAAGGAUGUGAAAUUGCACAGACAGUGAGGAUGUUGGCUUAGAAGCAGCCACCAUUUAAACAUAGCGUAACAGCUGACUCAUCGAGCGAUUUUGCGCCGAAAAUGAUUGGCGAUUAAAUCCAGUACCGAAGCCGCGGAUACAUACAUUAGUAUGUGUGGUAGGAGAGCGUCGUCUAUGCGCUGAAGCUAAACUGUAAGGGACAGUGGAGCGUAGACGAGUGAGGAUGCAGACAUGAGUAGCGAUAAAACAGGUGAGAAUCCUGUUCGCCGUAAACCCAAGGUUUCCCAUAGCCACGUUCGUCGGCUUGGGGUUAGCCGGGACCUAAGGUGAGGCCGUAAGGCGUAAUCGAUGGAAAUCAGGUUAAUAUUCCUGAGCCGGCAGGCAACUAGUGUGUGAGUGCGCGGAAAAUGAGAGUGGUUAACCACUAUGUGUUGGGAAAGGCUUAGUCCACGUGGCGAAGUCACCAUUCAAUUGAUCUGCCUAGAAAAGCUCAUGCAUGUGACUAUGCCUGUCGCCCGUACCGUAAACCGCCACAGGUAGGAGGGUGUAAAUGUACUAAGGCGCGCGAGAGAAACCUCUUUAAGGAACUCUGCAAUCUAGCCCCGUAACUUCGGAAGAAGGGGUGCCAUCUUCGGGUGGCCACAGUAAAGGGUGACUGGCGACUGUUUACCAAAAACACAGCUCUCUGCUAAGAUGUUAAGUCUACGUAUAGGGAGUGACACGUGACCAAUGCCGAAAGAUCAAGGCUGUUCUGUUAACGCAGGGCACCUAAGUCCCGGUGAAUGUCGGCCGUAACUAUAACGGUCCUAAGGUAGCGAAAUUCCUUGUCGGGUAAGUUCCGACCUGCACGAAUCGUGUAACGACCGGUCAGCUGUCUCAAAGAGGAUCUCGGCGAAGUUGUAAUGGCGGUGCAGAUGCCGCCAACCCGCGGUAGGACGGAAAGACCCUAUGCACCUUUACUGUAAGCUGGUAUUGGGUUCUGGACUAUGAUGUGUAGUAAUAGGUGGGAGACAUUGAAGUGAGCUCGUCAGGGUUCAUGGAGUCAACAAGUGAAAAACCACCCUUUGUUUUCUAGGAUUCUAACCUCGAUUCCUGUUAGCCAGGCGAGGGACAGUGCUUGCGGGUCAGUUUGACUGGGGCGGUUUCCUCCCAAAGAGUAACGGAGGAGUGCGAAGGUACUCUCAGCAUGGUUUGUAACCAUGCGUUGAGCAUAUAGGUAGAAGAGUGCUUAACUGUAAGACUGACAGGUCGAGCAGGUACGAAAGUAGGCCUAAGUGAUCCGGCAGUAGAAAAUGGAAUUGCUGUCGCUCAUCGGACAAAAGGUACGCUAGGGAUAACAGGCUUAUCGCGCCCAAGAGUUCAUAUCGACGGCGCGGUUUGGCACCUCGAUGUCGGCUCGUCACAUCCUGGGGCUGGAGAAGGUCCCAAGGGUUCGGCUGUUCGCCGAUUAAAGUGGCACGCGAGCUGGGUUCAGAACGUCGUGAGACAGUUCGGUCCUUAUCCACCGUGGGCGUAGGAAACUUGAGGGGUUCACUUCCUAGUACGAGAGGACCGGAAUUGACGCACCUCUGGUGUGGCAGUUGUCGUAGCAUCGGCAGCGCUGCGUAGCUAAGUGCGGAAGAGAUAAGCGCUGAAAGCAUCUAAGCGCCAAGCUCCUCCCAAGACAAGGUUUCCCCACCAGGCUCCUGGAAGACUACCAGGUUGAUAGGCCAGAGGUGUAAGCACAGUAAUGUGUUGAGCUGACUGGUACUAAUGUCCGAUCGGCUUAUCUUA